RNAcentral lists this ribosomal RNA (465 nucleotides) under uncultured bacterium. RNAcentral describes it as "partial 16S ribosomal RNA". It matches the Rfam family "Bacterial small subunit ribosomal RNA", at positions 28 to 507 of the family's 1533-position model. The record is from RNAcentral.
GACGAACGCUGGCGGCGUGCUUAACACAUGCAAGUCGAACGGAAAGGCCCUGCUUGCAGGGUACUCGAGUGGCGAACGGGUGAGUAACACGUGGGUGAUCUGCCCUGCACUUCGGGAUAAGCCUGGGAAACUGGGUCUAAUACCGGAUAGGAGCCCUUUUUAGUGUGAUGGUUGGAAAGUUUUUUCGGUGUAGGAUGAGCUCGCGGCCUAUCAGCUUGUUGGUGGGGUAAUGGCCUACCAAGGCGGCGACGGGUAGCCGGCCUGAGAGGGUGGACGGCCACAUUGGGACUGAGAUACGGCCCAGACUCCUACGGGAGGCAGCAGUGGGGAAUAUUGCACAAUGGGCGCAAGCCUGAUGCAGCGACGCCGCGUGGGGGAUGACGGCCUUCGGGUUGUAAACUCCUUUCGCUAGGGACGAAGCUUUUUGUGACGGUACCUAGAUAAGAAGCACCGGCUAACUACGUG